This 587-nucleotide ribosomal RNA is filed under the name uncultured bacterium. Its description in RNAcentral is "bacterial SSU rRNA". It matches the Rfam family "Bacterial small subunit ribosomal RNA", at positions 338 to 916 of the family's 1533-position model. The record is from RNAcentral.
CCUACGGGAGGCAGCAGUAGGGAAUCUUCCACAAUGGACGAAAGUCUGAUGGAGCAACGCCGCGUGAGCGAUGAAGGCCUUCGGGUCGUAAAGCUCUGUUGUUAGGGAAGAACAAGUACCGGAGUAACUGCCGGUACCUUGACGGUACCUAACCAGAAAGCCACGGCUAACUACGUGCCAGCAGCCGCGGUAAUACGUAGGUGGCAAGCGUUGUCCGGAAUUAUUGGGCGUAAAGCGCGCGCAGGCGGUUCCUUAAGUCUGAUGUGAGAGCCCCCGGCUCAACCGGGGAGGGUCAUUGGAAACUGGGGAACUUGAGUGCAGAAGAGGAGAGCGGAAUUCCACGUGUAGCGGUGAAAUGCGUAGAGAUGUGGAGGAACACCAGUGGCGAAGGCGGCUCUCUGGUCUGUAACUGACGCUGAGGCGCGAAAGCGUGGGGAGCGAACAGGAUUAGAUACCCUGGUAGUCCACGCCGUAAACGAUGAGUGCUAAGUGUUAGAGGGUUUCCGCCCUUUAGUGCUGCAGCAAACGCAUUAAGCACUCCGCCUGGGGAGUACGGCCGCAAGGCUGAAACUUAAAGGAAUUGACGG